GCUCUCUUUGUAUUAUGUGAUACUGGCAUUGAUGAGCUUUGCCUGAAGAUUAGUAUGAAUUUUCAAUAAUACACCUCUUUCUCUCUUUGCCUCAUCUCUCCCUUUGUUCUAUGUGAUUUAUUUGGGGAGAAAGCUAAAGGAUCUGAAAUCAGAUAAGAACGUUGUGUAUAGCUUUUAUACUUAAAAGUAGCUUUCUUUGUAUGCCAGCAGCAAAUUGAAUGCUCUCUUACUAAGACUUAUAUAAUAAGUGCAUGUAGGAAUUAAUGAACUGAUACUUGUUGGAAUGUAUGUGAACUAAUUGCGAUUAUAAUAGAGCAUAUUACUGUAGUGCUGAGUGAGCAGGGGCAUUGCCUGCAAGGAGAGGAGACCCUUGGAAUUGUUUUGCACAGGUGUGUCUGGUGAGGAGUUGUUCAGUGUGUGUCUCUUCCUUCCCUUUCUCCUCCUUCCCUUAUUGUAGUGCCUUAUAUGAUAAUGUAGUGGUUCAUAGAGUUUACAGUGAGCUUGCCUUAGGACGGACCAGCAAGCCCCCGUGGACCCAAAGCUGUUCACCGGGAUUUAUCAGAACAGGAUUAGUAGCUGUGUUGUGUAUAUG
RNAcentral lists this long non-coding RNA (592 nucleotides) under Bos taurus (domestic cattle). RNAcentral's name for it is "long non-coding RNA NONBTAT018140". Lineage: Eukaryota; Metazoa; Chordata; Mammalia; Artiodactyla; Bovidae. The record is from RNAcentral.